AGUACAAGAAGACAGAUUUGAACUGGACUUCUGUUUCCUCAGAAGUUAACUUGCAAUGUGAAGCUUUCCUUUUCUCAAAAACUUGGUGUCAUAGUGUUGGCUUCUAGUGCAGUGAGCCCCUUUUGCUGGAUAACACUACCUGGUAAUUUGACAUACUAGGUGGUUAGUAACUACUGACUGUCUCCAGGUUACAACACAGUUAUUACCUACUUGGGUGAAAAGAGAAGACAGGAAAUACAUUUUGGAGUUGGCUGGCAACCUGUUUACAAAGCGAUUUACAACAGUUCUUUAUUCUUAAGGGGCUAUUCUAAUAUAAGACCUCAGAGAAACAGUGCAGUGUGACAAAGGAGGAAUUUAUCAAAUGAGACAGAAAAAGCAUCAAGGCAAGCUGUGAAAUGGUGCGGUAGGAACCAAAUAGAGAGCCAAAGGAUCUCUCUGUCACUGCAGGCCCUUAGGGAGAAUGUACAAGUCCUCUGCCACAACGUGAGGGAGAGAAGUCUGCAGACGGCUGACUGGUGACGACUGAACAAGACGGAAAGGCAAGUCGCUAUGCCCGAAGCCUUUGAAGGGAGCCAGCAGGGUCCAUGGGAGGUUCAGGACACAUAUCUGCAGCCCUGCUUCUGGCCUCACCCUUGGGGAAGCCUUUUGCAGGUGAUCCUGGGCCUCUGCUGGGGAAGGCCCCAAGAGGUGAAGCAUCCUCUGCAGAGGAGAGAGCACAUCCGGAGGUAGAAGACAGACCACUGUCUGGGCUCCGUUUAACUGCUGUGAUUUGGGAUUGUAACUUACCCCCGUAAAGCCUCAGUUUCCCACAUGGAAAAUCAAAUCAAUCAUUGUUAUAACAUUU
This 844-nucleotide non-coding RNA is filed under the name Pan troglodytes (chimpanzee). Lineage: Eukaryota; Metazoa; Chordata; Mammalia; Primates; Hominidae. The record is from RNAcentral.